CCAAGCCUAGAUAUUCUUGUUUUUCUGACUGUGCUGGUUCGUCCAGCACAACUCUCUCCACCUGUGAACUUUUUUACUAAACGUUGAUGGCUAUGGGAAGUAUUUUUGAAGUUGAAUUACAAACUUUUGGCAAUGGAUCUCUUGGUUCUCCCAUCGAUGAAGAACGCAGCGAAUCGCGAAAGUUAAUGUGAAUUGCAGAACCGUGAAUCAUCGAGUCUUUGAACGCAUCUUGCGCUCGGGGGCUAUUCCCCCGAGCAUGCCUGUCUGAGUGUUGGGAAUCUCUAUCUAGCGUAGUAGCUAGGAUGUGGGUUUGUCUUUUUGUUUAAGACUCACCUGAAAUUAGCAGAGAGAGGCGGCGUGGGGCUUGUCCUUUGGUACGAUGAACUUCUUAUCGGAGCGACAGCCUUGGCAGCUUUUUGAAUUCCACUAUUCGACCUCAAAUCAGGUAGGACUACCCGCUGAACUUAAGCAUAUCAAUAAGCGGAGGAAGAGAAACAAACAUGGAUUCCCCUAGUAGCGGCGAGCGAAGCGGGAAGAGCCCAGAAUGAAAAGCUCCCGUCAGGGCGCAUUGUAAUCUGGAGACGUGCCUCGUGCGGGGCGGCUGGACUCAAGUCUGCUGGAAAGCAGCAUCGUAGAGGGUGAAAAUCCCGUGCUUGGUCUGGCUCUGCACCGUGUUGUGGGGCGCGCUCGACGAGUCGCGUUGUUUGGGAAUGCAGCGCAAAGUAGGGUGGUAAACGCCAUCCAAGGCUAAAUAUGGGGGAGAGACCGAUAGCGAACAAGUACCGUGAGGGAAAGAUGAAAAGAACUUUGGAAAGAGAGUUAAACAGUACGUGAAAUUGCCAAAAGGGAAGCGUUGGCAGUCAGUACCGCAAGGUGUGCCCUGUCUCCUUUCUUCCGGAAGGAUUACUGGGUGCACGUGGGGCUCAUGUCGGUUGCGGCGGGGAGAAGUCUGUGGGAAGUGGCUCUUGCUUCGCAGAGUUUAAGCACUGCGCGCGAC
This 997-nucleotide ribosomal RNA is filed under the name Moniliella pollinis. RNAcentral's name for it is "eukaryotic LSU rRNA". The stretch from base 432 to 997 matches the Rfam family "Eukaryotic large subunit ribosomal RNA", at positions 1 to 573 of the family's 3401-position model. Lineage: Eukaryota; Fungi; Basidiomycota; Moniliellomycetes; Moniliellales; Moniliellaceae. The record is from RNAcentral.